GAUGAACGCUGGCGGCGUGCCUAAUACAUGCAAGUCGAGCGAACGGACGAGAAGCUUGCUUCUCUGAUGUUAGCGGCGGACGGGUGAGUAACACGUGGAUAACCUACCUAUAAGACUGGGAUAACUUCGGGAAACCGGAGCUAAUUCCGGAUGAUAUUUUGAACCGCAUGGUUCAAAAGUGAAAGACGGUCUUGCUGUCACUGAUAGAUGGAUCCGCGCUGCAUUAGCUAGUUGGUAAGGUAACGGCUUACCAAGGCAACGAUGCAUAGCCGACCGGAGAGGGUGAUCGGCCACACUGGAACUGAGACACGGUCCAGACUCCUACGGGAGGCAGCAGUAGGGAAUCUUCCGCAAUGGGCGAAAGCCUGACGGAGCAACGCCGCGUGAGUGAUGAAGGUCUUCGGAUCGUAAAACUCUGUUAUUAGGGAAGAACAUAUGUGUAAGUAACUGUGCACAUCUUGACGGUACCUAAUCAGAAAGCCACGGCUAACUACGUG
This 497-nucleotide ribosomal RNA is filed under the name uncultured bacterium. Its description in RNAcentral is "partial 16S ribosomal RNA". It matches the Rfam family "Bacterial small subunit ribosomal RNA", at positions 28 to 507 of the family's 1533-position model. The record is from RNAcentral.